GACGAACGCUGGCGGCGUGCCUAAUACAUGCAAGUAGAACGCUGAAGAGAGGAGCUUGCUCUUCUUGGAUGAGUUGCGAACGGGUGAGUAACGCGUAGGUAACCUGCCUUGUAGCGGGGGAUAACUAUUGGAAACGAUAGCUAAUACCGCAUAACAAUGGAUGACACAUGUCAUUUAUUUGAAAGGGGCAAUUGCUCCACUACAAGAUGGACCUGCGUUGUAUUAGCUAGUAGGUGAGGUAACGGCUCACCUAGGCGACGAUACAUAGCCGACCUGAGAGGGUGAUCGGCCACACUGGGACUGAGACACGGCCCAGACUCCUACGGGAGGCAGCAGUAGGGAAUCUUCGGCAAUGGGGGCAACCCUGACCGAGNCACGCCGCGUGAGUGAAGAAGGUUUUCGGAUCGUAAAGCUCUGUUUUGUAGUCAGAACGAGCGUGAGAGUGGAAAUUCACACUGUGACGGUAGCUUACCAGNAGGGACGGCUAACUACGUGCCAGCAGCCGCGGUAAUACGUAGGUCCCGAGCGUNGUCCGGAUUUAUGGGCGUAAAGCGAGCGCGGCGGUUUGAUAAGUCUGAAGUUAAGGCUGUGGCUCAACCAUAGUUCGCUUUGGAAACUGUCAAACUUGAGUGCAGAAGGGGAGAGUGGAAUUCCAUGUGUAGCGGUGAAAUGCGUAGAUAUAUGGAGGAACACCGGUGGCGAAAGCGGCUCUCUGGUCUGUAACUGACGCUGAGGCUCGAAAGCGUGGGGAGCGAACAGGAUUAGAUACCCUGGUAGUCCACGCCGUAAACGAUGAGUGCUAGGUGUUGGAUCCUUUCCGGGAUUCAGUGCCGCAGCUAACGCAUUAAGCACUCCGCCUGGGGAGUACGACCGCAAGGUUGAAACUCAAAGGAAUUGACGGGGGCCCGCACAAGCGGUGGAGCAUGUGGUUUAAUUCGAAGCAACGCGAAGAACCUUACCAGGUCUUGACAUCCCGAUGCUAUUUCUAGAGAUAGAAAGUUACUUCGGUACAUCGGUGACAGGUGGUGCAUGGUUGUCGUCAGCUCGUGUCGUGAGAUGUUGGGUUAAGUCCCGCAACGAGCGCAACCCCUAUUGUUAGUUGCCAUCAUUCAGUUGGGCACUCUAGCGAGACUGCCGGUAAUAAACCGGAGGAAGGUGGGGAUGACGUCAAAUCAUCAUGCCCCUUAUGACCUGGGCUACACACGUGCUACAAUGGUUGGUACAACGAGUUGCGAGUCGGUGACGGCAAGCUAAUCUCUUAAAGCCAAUCUCAGUUCGGAUUGUAGGCUGCAACUCGCCUACAUGAAGUCGGAAUCGCUAGUAAUCGCGGAUCAGCACGCCGCGGUGAAUACGUUCCCGGGCCU
RNAcentral lists this ribosomal RNA (1364 nucleotides) under uncultured bacterium. RNAcentral describes it as "bacterial SSU rRNA". It matches the Rfam family "Bacterial small subunit ribosomal RNA", at positions 28 to 1381 of the family's 1533-position model. The record is from RNAcentral.